Molecule: non-coding RNA, 83 nt
Organism: Arabidopsis lyrata subsp. lyrata
Lineage: Eukaryota; Viridiplantae; Streptophyta; Magnoliopsida; Brassicales; Brassicaceae
Source: Rfam
AAGAGCCAUUGAUGAUUGAAAAAGACUGUCCACAUUGUUUGAUUCACCACUAAUAUGAAUUCUUUAAUUAGUCUGAGGCUCGU